RNAcentral lists this ribosomal RNA (210 nucleotides) under uncultured bacterium. RNAcentral describes it as "partial 16S ribosomal RNA". It matches the Rfam family "Bacterial small subunit ribosomal RNA", at positions 28 to 232 of the family's 1533-position model. The record is from RNAcentral.
GACGAACGCUGGCGGCGUGCUUAACACAUGCAAGUCGCGCGGGAAAGAGACUUUCGGGUCUUGAGUAGAGCGGCGGACGGGUGCGUAAGACGCGGGUGACCUAUCCGAGAGGCGGGGAUAACCCAGCGAAAGCGGGGCUAAUACCGGAUGAGCCCCCACGGCGGAAACGACGCGGGGGCGAAAGAAUGCUACUCGAUAGUGGCAUGUCCU